UUGUGGGAUUUCAUUCCUCACUUUUGUUUUGUGCCAAGUAGGCGGAUUUUUGAUUUACAUUUUCUACACAUUUGAAUUUUUAUAUCUGGAGCAGGUGUCUCAUUGUGGGAUUUCAUUCCUCACUUUUGUUUUGUGCCAAGUAGGCGGAUUUUUGCUUUACAUUUUCUACACAUUUGAAUUUUUAUAUCUGGAGCAGGUGUCUCAUUGUGGGAUUUCAUUCCUCACUUUUGUUUUGUGCCAAGUAGGCGGA
Molecule: long non-coding RNA, 250 nt
Organism: Pseudophryne corroboree (corroboree frog)
Lineage: Eukaryota; Metazoa; Chordata; Amphibia; Anura; Myobatrachidae
Exons: 3
Source: RefSeq, a predicted model, not a curated record